AGCCGCGUCUCCGCUCGCGAGACGUCAGGCCGCCGCCCGGGUCCGCGGGACCCCGGCCCAGCUCGGGCGGGGCCGCCUCCGCACCACGGCCCGGCGACAAGACGACAGAAGGCGGGAACGUAUGAAAGAAGACCUGAGAGUUUUAGAAAAUAAAGGAAACAAAAUGUUAAGGAAUCAGCUACAAAACGGAGAGAAGAAAAGGAAGGCUUGUUUCCGCCCGGUUUCGAACCGGGGACCUUUCGCGUGUGAGGCGAACGUGAUAACCACUACACUACGGAAACACGACGGCGGGAGGCUCCCUGAGAGAGCAGUUCUCCCUGCAGAACACGCCGCCCGGCCUGCCCGAUUCCUGCAAACGAGCGUCGUUUGUGUGCGCAUGCGUCCGUGCCCCCGUCUUGUUCGCACCACACGAGACCGUGAAGAGCGCAGGCCAAAGCCUCCCAGUGUACAGACUUGAAAACAAAUCCCUAACAGUUUAUUCUGGAAAUGCCCAGGUUGGGAGAAAACAAGAGAGAGGCUUCAGUGCUCACGAGUGACCUUUCUCGGUUGCUUCUCAAUCGGAAUAGGCGCGCCCCGGGACCGUGCACAGGCCUCGGGCUGCUCAGCGCCACCCCGUGGCCGAGACGCGGAACUUGCUGUGCAGGGGCGUGAGGACCCCCCCCCCAGCUGGGGUAAAUGGGGCGCUCUUUGGCCCCGGAGAACCUGCAAGGCAGAUGUCGCCGUGCCCGAGUUUUCGGGCUCCACGGCGUGCCGCGGUGCUCUGCCAGGGAGAGGCAAAAUAGCACGACCCGCCUCGAGCCAGCCAGGAGUCGAACCUGGAAUCUUCUGAUCCGUAGUCAGACGCGUUAUCCAUUGCGCCACUGGCCCGCACGGAGGCGUUUGCCGCCGCGGAUACUUUCGUGAGGACGCAGGCGCCGGCGGGUCCAGGCGAGGCGCGCUCGCGCCCGGGCCGCGCUCCCCGCCGCCCCGCUGGGCUCCCGGCCGGUCACCUGCAGCCGGCUGCUCGCUCCGUGGCGUCCGUGCUCCCCUCCGCGGCGUCUUCUCCGCCCGCGACACCUCGCCAUCCACGCGUUCGCCCCGCAACCAGGGUUACCGUCGGAGGCGCUGGAAGUGGAGCCCUGAAGAAAAGCGAUGUGGUCCCUUGUCCAUCGACAAGAUGACAGGGAAGCACUACAUAAGGAGAAUAAUCAUGAUGAGCGUUUGGAGGAAAACAACAAGACCGGGAAGACCAGGAAGGCCCGGCGGAGACGGUGAUUAACGAGAGAGAAACGCGGGUAUCAGGGAAAAGAGCCUGGAGGGGCGAGAGCGCGCACAGACCCCCCGCUUGCGGGGACCGUGGAUGUGAUCUGUUGGGACUUGGAGGUCGUGGUGGGGUGGCGUGAUCUGGCGUGCUCUCUUGUCUCUCCUUCGGUCGUUAAAAAAUGUGUUUCAGUACUUACCAAGCAAGGCUCUGUGCUAAGCACCUGCUUGCCUGCGCGCCUCCCGCUGGGCCUGCGACUCCCAAUUUGACACCUUUGAAAGGGGCGUCGUCAGCUCGCACGCGUGACUGCGCGGUGUUUGCUUUCUCAGGAAGCGAGUAAGCAUCUCCCAGGUGUGCGUUUCAGUCUCCAGAAUUCUUGAGAAGUAAUCGUCGUCCCCAUGCCUGGGUGAGCAUCGCGGAGAGGUUGACGGCUGUUAACCGAGUGAAACUGCCUGACAUUGAGAACAUAUCCACUGAGUGUAGAAAAUAGUCGUUUUCAGUUCAUAAGGUUGCAUCGGCCCUUAAGAAUAAUACAGGUGUCCCUGCUCUUUCUGCAUAACCUUAUAGUAGACCGAGUUAGGAAUCUCCCCCUGGACAAUGGAACAGGAGACCUCUGGCCAGGUUUUCUACUUGUGUGCCUAGGGCACUUUGCUGGUUAUGGACUGCCUCACAGAAUAAUCGUUUCGGCUAGAAAGAAAAAAAGAUAAGUACGUACGAUUUCAAAGGGAAAUCAAUUACAUUGAAAUAGGUUACCAAAAUAUUAAAAACGUAUGCUGUGGCAAUAUUUUUGCUCCUCUAUUAAUGCACUAACAAUGUACAGCAGGUCUAAUCAAUACCGUAAUUUCAAAGCACUAAUGAGCAUCCAGGAUAUUUAAAGAAAUUUGUAACAACUGUAGUUUGAUGUGAAAUACUUGUGAUCUCCAAAAAUGACAACAUAAAAAGGGCUGAGAUACAACAGUACUUUGUUGCCAACACUCAAGAUGGAAUAAAACACAAAGUUUCAGUAUCAAGUUCGUCAAGAUAAAUAUUUAUUUUCCCAUCCGAGUUCACAGACUGUCGCCUCCCUAUAAGAAGCAAAAGGAGAUUUCUGUUCUCAAGAGCAGUUUGGAAACAUGAGCACUCACGCUUGAAUUUUGAGAAAUGAAGCACACUGGGGUACUUCUCGGUUCUAGUUUACCCUCAUCGCAUACCCAGGAUGGGCAGGCAGGCCAGACCCCAAGGGGUCCCUGGAGCCGCGGGUCGCGUCUUGCACCUCUAAAAUGGGCUUCAACUCAGCUAGCUGGAGGCCCCGUCCACAUGUUCUCUCCUCGGUGUCUGCAGAGACCUCCCUUCGUUGGGCAGGUUUUGAAAGCUUCAGCGGCCUCCAAGUUCUCCGCGAUGCUCACAACCUGACAUGAGCCGAGGCAUGCUUUCACUUUGUUUUUGGAGAGCUUUCUAGGGGUCACCUUUUCUGAGAGUUCCAGUUUCUAGCAUUCAGUCUUUUCUUCAGUGGUUGUAUCAGUCAGAGAAACAGAGUCCAGAAAAAAAAAAAAAAAAAAAAACCAACAGAACUAGUAAGAGAAUAUGAAUGAAUGAAUGAAUGAACGAACGAAUGAAUGAAUGACUAUUUCAAAGCCUGGCAAGUCUGAAAUCUGCCGAGCAGGCCUGUAGUUUAGAAAAUCUCAGGCAGGAGCUGAUGCUACAGUCUUAAGACAGAAUUUCUUCUUCCUCCGGGAAGCCUCCAUUUUGCUUUUAAAUAAAGCCUUUCACCUGGUUGGAAAUAAUAAUUCAUGGGAAAUAAUCAUUGGUUCGGCUGGCUGGCUCACCCGUAUUACUGAGGAUCUUACAGUCAACUCAUUGUAACCACGUUAACCCACGAAGAUAUUUACAAAGUAUCUUUACAGCAACAUCCAGAUUAGUGUUCAGUUGAAUAACUGGGUACUGUACAGCCUAGCCAAGUUCCCACAUCAAGCUAACCAUCGCAAUGCACUGUUCUUCCGGUUUCUCUCUCAAGCAUGUGGACCAUGGCACUCUCUGCCCCUCCCGUGUUUCUUUACAUUAUUGUCAGCAGUCUGUGACACAGAGAUCCCCACCUUCUCCAGUUUCAGAUGCGAGGAACAGAGCCAAGUGUGAGAGGCCCUUCCACGGGCUCUGCCGGCCACACUGGGGAUUGCGUAGAGGAGAGAAUUCGCACCCAGAGUUCUGGAAGCAAUUGUUCUAAGUCUCAGUUUUCCCCCCACGAUUUGUCUGCGGCUUGUUAAACAGCCGCUUUGACUUAGCAGCAUUUCACUGCAGAUUUUGACCGCUGGUGACCAACCAAAGGAAAAACCCCGACCAAAUACUCACCGCUCUGCUGUCUCUCUGAUAAUCUGCCACAGUUUGGUCAAAGCCAUAGUAGCCAAUACUAGAGGAAACUAAGGAAAGCAGAAGGCAAAAUCACCAAGUUGAAACUACAAGCAACAUCAUAGUCUCUGGUCACCCGAUCCUCUUUCCUGGGGGAAUUCCAAACCAAUGCACUCUUACAAUCAGCGGGCAAUAUUUGCAGAAAGCGCAGCCUCCGGAAUGAUUGCUACAUGUGCAGCAUCUCAAUUCACAGCAGCCGCUAAAAUCCAACCACAUCACGCAAGCCGCAAAUAACUGAUCUAACGGGUGGUGUUGUGCUCUGACUUUUUCGGAAAGGAGCAUCAAACUCAAACUAUUUGUCACCGGUGAUUUCAGAAAAGAAGGCGUCAGGAAGAAGCAACUGUCUGUACGUCACAGAGUGGAUGGAUAGCCCGCUGGGACAGGCGGACUUGAAAAUGGCAGCCCCAGGCUGACUCCAAGCCGUCCAGGAAGAGCCAAGGCGCAGACUCUCAGGCUGAGUCAUGGUGUAGACGUCAGCACUAGAACACUACUUCACCCUGCUCCUGAAUUUCACUUGACCUUCACCCCCUGCUCCAUCAGGGUCCAGGAACACCUUUACCGGGAUGCUUCCAGCCCAGAGGCCCUUGACAGAGUGCAUGAUCUGUACCACUGAGGUAAUGGUGCUGGCUUUUGGAGCUCUAGAAUAUUCCAGGUGAGGACUCUAACCAUCUCUCCCCAAAAGCUUGAAAGCCUUUCUACCUCUCCAUAUAUGGACCAUGAAAGUGAUUUAUGUGUACAAGUGGAAAUGAUUUACAAUCCAAUGUUUGUUUAGCCCCCCGGUGCCUACUUGUCCAGAGCCAGUUCUAUGGCAAGCGCCAUGCCAAUCGCACGUGGGUCAUGAAUGGUGCUGUAAAAAGCCUGGGGGGGAGGGUGCGGGGUGCGGCAGACAGUUCAAUGGCAGUUGCAGGGUAGUGGCGGGUGAUAACACUGGGAGUGGGGGCCCUGGGGGCCGCAGUUCACUAGCCCAGACUGGUGGAGGAAAGAGGUGGGGGAAGACUUCACGAAGAAGUGACGCCCAUACUGCGCAUGGAGGAGAUGUAGAGAGGGGGCUGGACAGAAGGCGUGGAAAAGAUGCUCCUGGCAAAGGGGACCGUGGGUGGCUACAGGUGAAGAUCCGAGGAAGCAAUGGCGGGUGGGAGGAGAGGGGUGGACUGCGUGGUUGUGUGUGCAGAUCCUGAAACUCUCAUAAAGACCACAGAUGGACUUGACCUGACCGUAAGUCAUCAAAUGCUUCAUGGGAUAAAUUUGUUUGCUUGCUUGCUU
Molecule: long non-coding RNA, 4885 nt
Organism: Leopardus geoffroyi (Geoffroy's cat)
Lineage: Eukaryota; Metazoa; Chordata; Mammalia; Carnivora; Felidae
Exons: 2
Source: RefSeq, a predicted model, not a curated record